Nicotiana tabacum (common tobacco) is the source of this 1259-nucleotide non-coding RNA. NCBI's taxonomy places the organism in Eukaryota, Viridiplantae, Streptophyta, Magnoliopsida, Solanales, Solanaceae. The record is from RefSeq and is a predicted model, not a curated record.
AGCUUGGUUAAAGACCAUAUCUCAUAAUCAAGAUGAAACUGAUGUUAAGCUUUUGGUAUAUUUGGACUGGCAGAAGACUGAAGGUCUUCAUUAUCAAGAGAGUAUUAUGUAUUAUAGUUGUACUCAGGAUAUUCUAUAAGAUGGAUGGAGCUCUCUGAUUGUAGCUUUCUUUGGUCUUCUGUGGACUGACGGUUUUGGAGCCAACUAAAGUCCAAUUUCGGCUGCAGUUCUGCUACAGCUUAUCUGGGUGUUUUCUCUUUUGGUGGCAGUGCACUAAAACCAGGGUGAUUUUCAUUGCAAAAUGCAUAUAUCAGAUGCUAAAAGGUUGAUCUCUUUUCUUGUGACUGACGUGAUGAACUAAUACUUUUUUGUGAAGCAAGCACUUUGGAGGAAGGCUCAUCCUUGUAAGAGGACGUUAUUAAAGGAUUCUAUUUUCUCAAAAUGCAUUUGCUUUGAGCUUUGGUAAAAUGGCAACCAUACCCGUUUUUGGCUUGAUGUAUGGUGCGGGAAUUCUGCACUGAAAGAAGAAUUUCCAACCUAUUCUCGAUCACGACUGAUAAAGAGGCCACUUUACGCGAGCGAUUAAGGAGAUACGGAGGUCAAGUGUCAUAAGAUAUUUCCUUUAGGACGCCCUUUCAAGAUUAGGACUGGAAUUAGAUGGGCAAUUGGGCAAAUUGCUUCAGAGAAGUUGCAGUUGCACAAUUCAGAGAGGACAUAGAGAUCUGGGCAGGCUGAACCUUGAAAUUGUUUGUUGAAAUUGUAUCAUAAUUACUCAUCUAGGAGAGGUGACUUCAGGCCCAUAUGGUAGCCAGUAUGGACGACAGACAGCAGAAAAAGCAAGUUUUAAGCACUCUUGUCAGUUGGUGGUGUUUUGCAAAGGAUGAGGAGGAUUUUGAUCACUUCUUACUACAUUGCAUUUCACUGUAUGAUAGUUUACUCCAUGCUUAAAUUGUCAUGAGAAUGACCUAGGACAGUGUUGGAUGUCAGGGCAAGUUGAGAAUGAGAAGGCUAGAUGCUUGAAAGGAAGAUCUGGUAAGGAGGCUCAUUUUGCGCAUUUUUUCCGGUUGAUUUGGAGAGAGAUAUAAUAGAACUUUUGAGGAAGUUGAAAGCGUACUGUUGAAAGUUAGGUCUUUUUUAUUUUGUUUAUACUUUUCGGUGCAAAAGGAUAUCUCACAUUGUAAAAAGAAAUUGAGUUUUUGGAAUUUUGAUGUAAACCCUAUACAUAUAUAUGUGAGGUAAAACCAAUUUAAUGUGGUAUU